RNAcentral lists this ribosomal RNA (368 nucleotides) under uncultured eukaryote. RNAcentral describes it as "partial 18S ribosomal RNA". It matches the Rfam family "Eukaryotic small subunit ribosomal RNA", at positions 592 to 976 of the family's 1831-position model. The record is from RNAcentral.
CAGUAGCGUAUAUUAAAGUUGUUGCAGUUAAAAUGCUCGUAGUUGAAGUUCGGAUGCAGCAGAGCUUGGAAACGCUGUUAUGGUGCUUCCGUUGCUUUUGCUUGUCCACAGUGCGUUGCAAGUACGUAUGUGCUUGUGCGUGCAUUUUACUUUGAGAAACAUAGGGUGUUCCACGCAUGUUACGGCAUGAAUAUUCCAGCAUGGGAUAAUCUGGUACGACUUCCAAUCUGCCAUUUUGGUUCGUAGGUUGGAAGUAAUGAUUAAUAGGGACUGUCGGGGGCAUUGGUAUUUGACUGUCAGAGGUGAAAUUCUUGGAUUUGUUGAGGACCAACCACUGCGAAAGCAUUUGUCAAGGAUGUCUCCAUUAA